UACACUCCUACGGGAGGCAGCAGUGGGGAAUAUUGCACAAUGGGCGCAAGCCUGAUGCAGCCAUGCCGCGUGUAUGAAGAAGGCCUUCGGGUUGUAAAGUACUUUCAGCGGGGAGGAAGGUGUUGAGGUUAAUAACCUCAGCAAUUGACGUUACCCGCAGAAGAAGCACCGGCUAACUCCGUGCCAGCAGCCGCGGUAAUACGGAGGGUGCAAGCGUUAAUCGGAAUUACUGGGCGUAAAGCGCACGCAGGCGGUCUGUCAAGUCGGAUGUGAAAUCCCCGGGCUCAACCUGGGAACUGCAUUCGAAACUGGCAGGCUAGAGUCUUGUAGAGGGGGGUAGAAUUCCAGGUGUAGCGGUGAAAUGCGUAGAGAUCUGGAGGAAUACCGGUGGCGAAGGCGGCCCCCUGGACAAAGACUGACGCUCAGGUGCGAAAGCGUGGGGAGCAAACAGGAUUAGAAACCCCAGUAGUCCCAUGA
RNAcentral lists this ribosomal RNA (477 nucleotides) under uncultured organism. Its description in RNAcentral is "partial 16S ribosomal RNA". It matches the Rfam family "Bacterial small subunit ribosomal RNA", at positions 332 to 800 of the family's 1533-position model. The record is from RNAcentral.